AGUGAACGCUGGCGGUAGGCCUAACACAUGCAAGUCGAACGGCAGCACAGUAAGAGCUUGCUCUUACGGGUGGCGAGUGGCGGACGGGUGAGGAAUACAUCGGAAUCUACUUUUUCGUGGGGGAGAACGUAGGGAAACUUACGCUAAACCCGCAUACGACCUACGGGUGAAAGCAGGGGAUCUUAGGCCCUCGCGCGAUUGAAUGACCCGAUGUCGGAUUAGCUAGUUGGCGGGGUAACGGCCCACCAAGGCGACGAUCCGUAGCUGGUCUGAGAGGAUGAUCAGCCACACUGGAACUGAGACACGGUCCAGACUCCUACGGGAGGCAGCAGUGGGGAAUAUUGGACAAUGGGCGCAAGCCUGAUCCAGCCAUACCGCGUGGGUGAAGAAGGCCUUCGGGUUGUAAAGCCCUUUUGUUGGGAAAGAAAAGCAGCAGGUUAAUACCCCGCUGUUCUGACGGUACCCAAAGAAUAAGCACCGGCUAACUUCGUG
This 492-nucleotide ribosomal RNA is filed under the name uncultured bacterium. Its description in RNAcentral is "partial 16S ribosomal RNA". It matches the Rfam family "Bacterial small subunit ribosomal RNA", at positions 29 to 507 of the family's 1533-position model. The record is from RNAcentral.